UUCAACUGUCUUGAAUAUUCUUCUCAGAAAUGGUAAGUUUGAAGGUUUCCUCUAAUAACUAACUUUCACAAUCAAAUCUUUCAACUAAGAGAUCUUUUAUUCUUUAAAACAGAGGAAGUAAGGUGAGUGGAAGGGGUGAGAGAGGUAUCCCUAAUUUUAUAAGUUAACCCUGUUGAUUGGUGAUUCGAGAUGUAUUCAAAUUCAGGAAAUAACAUCUUUCCCUAAGGGGAGAUGUUGACAGCAAAGUCUGAUGGGUUUCUUCUGAACUAAGCCCAAAAGUCUUCUCAGCACUCAGUCAUAUGGAUAAUCAGUGACCAAAGAGAGAGUUUGUCUUCCACCUUCUAUUCCAACAGCCAGAGGAGGAAGUGAAAUUCAAGCAGCUGGACUUCCCUAACUGCCCCCUUCAAGAUUCCAUUGGAACUUGUGAAGAUUGGAUUUAGCUCUCCCCUGAUUGUAACAGUGAAGAUACUUAGCUCUUCCUUUAUUGUCACAAAGGAGAAGCAGAAGAGGAAGGGACUCAGGGGAAAGAGUGGCAUUUGAAGUCAGAUUAUAUGGAUUCCAAACCUGGCUCUGCUUCCAUAUUCACUGCUUAUGUGACCCUGUGGUGACCAAAAGAAUAUUAUCUCUAACUACCAGGCAAUUGAAGUCAUCAGGGAUGUUGUCUGAUAUUGCUGGGAACAGAGAGGAUUUAAAUGUGGGUGUGACAAUAAGAAUAAAAAAGGAAGAACAAGAAAAAUAAGGAAAAGGAAGAUUCAAAACGUCCA
RNAcentral lists this long non-coding RNA (764 nucleotides) under Monodelphis domestica (gray short-tailed opossum). RNAcentral describes it as "lncRNA (ENSMODG00000048714.1)". The record is from RNAcentral. Lineage: Eukaryota; Metazoa; Chordata; Mammalia; Didelphimorphia; Didelphidae.